GAUGAACGCUGGCGGCGUGCUUAACACAUGCAAGUCGAACGAACCUUCGGGUUAGUGGCGGACGGGUGAGUAACGCGUGAGAAUCUGCCCUCAGGAGGGGGAUAACGACUGGAAACGGUCGCUAAUACCCCAUAUGCCGAGAGGUGAAAUGAAUUUCGCCUGAGGAUGAGCUCGCGUCUGAUUAGCUAGUUGGUGGGGUAAAGGCCUACCAAGGCGACGAUCAGUAGCUGGUCUGAGAGGAUGAUCAGCCACACUGGGACUGAGACACGGCCCAGACUCCUACGGGAGGCAGCAGUGGGGAAUUUUCCGCAAUGGGCGAAAGCCUGACGGAGCAACGCCGCGUGAGGGAUGAAGGCCUCUGGGCUGUAAACCUCUUUUCUCAAGGAAGAAGAUCUGACGGUACUUGAGGAAUAAGCCACGGCUAAUUCCGUGCCAGCAGCCGCGGUAAUACGGGAGUGGCAAGCGUUAUCCGGAAUCAUUGGGCGUAAAGCGUCCGCAGGCGGCCUUGUAAGUCUGUCGUUAAAGCGUGGAGCUUAACCCCAUUUCAGCGAUGGAAACUACAAGGCUUGAGUGUGGUAGGGGCAGAGGGAAUUCCCGGUGUAGCGGUGAAAUGCGUAGAUAUCGGGAAGAACACCAGUGGCGAAGGCGCUCUGCUGGGCCAUAACUGACGCUCAUGGACGAAAGCCAGGGGAGCGAAAGGGAUUAGAUACCCCUGUAGUCCUGGCCGUAAACGAUGAACACUAGGCGUCGGGGGAAUCGACCCCCUCGGUGUCGUAGCCAACGCGUUAAGUGUUCCGCCUGGGGAGUACGCACGCAAGUGUGAAACUCAAAGGAAUUGACGGGGGCCCGCACAAGCGGUGGAGUAUGUGGUUUAAUUCGAUGCAACGCGAAGAACCUUACCAGGGUUUGACAUCCUGCGAAUCCCUUGGAAACGAGGGAGUGCCUUCGGGAACGCAGUGACAGGUGGUGCAUGGCUGUCGUCAGCUCGUGUCGUGAGAUGUUGGGUUAAGUCCCGCAACGAGCGCAACCCACGUCUUUAGUUGCCAGCAUUCAGUUGGGCACUCUAGAGAGACCGCCGGUGAUAAACCGGAGGAAGGUGUGGAUGACGUCAAGUCAUCAUGCCCCUUACAUCCUGGGCUACACACGUACUACAAUGCUACGGACAAAGGGCAGCAAACUCGCGAGAGCUAGCAAAUCCCAUAAACCGUGGCUCAGUUCAGAUCGUAGGCUGCAACUCGCCUACGUGAAGGAGGAAUCGCUAGUAAUCGCAGGUCAGCAUACUGCGGUGGAUACGUUCCCGGGCCUUGUACACACCGCCCGUCACACCAUGGAAGUUAGCCACGCCCGAAGUCGUUACUCCAACCCUUGUGGAGGAGGACGCCGAAGGUGGGGCUGAUGACUGGGGUG
Molecule: ribosomal RNA, 1407 nt
Filed under: uncultured bacterium
Lineage: Bacteria
Description: bacterial SSU rRNA
Rfam family: Bacterial small subunit ribosomal RNA
Source: RNAcentral